Molecule: signal recognition particle RNA, 296 nt
Filed under: Pongo abelii (Sumatran orangutan)
Lineage: Eukaryota; Metazoa; Chordata; Mammalia; Primates; Hominidae
Description: Metazoan signal recognition particle RNA (ENSPPYG00000035446.1)
Rfam family: Metazoan signal recognition particle RNA
About the family: The signal recognition particle (SRP) is a universally conserved ribonucleoprotein. It is involved in the co-translational targeting of proteins to membranes. The eukaryotic SRP consists of a 300-nucleotide 7S RNA and six proteins: SRPs 72, 68, 54, 19, 14, and 9.
Source: Rfam by way of RNAcentral
GUGGGGCUCAACGGAGCAGGCCUGUAGUCCCAGCUCCUAGAGAGGCUGAGACAAGAGGGUUGCAUGAUCCCAGGAGUUCUAGGCUGCAGUGUGCUAUUCCAAUUUGGUGUCCACACUAAGUUCAGCAUCAAUACGGUGACCUUCUGGGAGCAGAGGACCAGCGAAUUGCCUAUGGAGGGGUGAAUUGGUCCAGGGUAGAAAUAGAGCAAGUCAAAACUCUCGUGCUUGAAAUGGGAUUACUCCUACGAAUGGCCACUGCAUUCCAGCCUGGACAAUAUAGCAAGACCUCAUCUCUU